Molecule: RNA transcript, 903 nt
Organism: Camelina sativa (false flax)
Lineage: Eukaryota; Viridiplantae; Streptophyta; Magnoliopsida; Brassicales; Brassicaceae
Source: RefSeq, a predicted model, not a curated record
ACGUGCGGACUAUUGUGUAUUUGUGUGUGUGUAUGAAUCCGAUAGGUAACCAUUAAUGGGGAAACCAAAGUGGUCAUGGCCUAAUUGUGCUUCUGGCUCAUCAUCUCAUUCCAGCUCUCCCCCGUCGCCUUCUUCGUCUUAUUCUCUCCCUUGCCCCUUACAUCUCAUCGGAAAAGUAGAUUGACCUGUAAGUUCGUAUCCUAUCACCAAUUUGUAGGCUUGCCUCGUUCUCACUCAAGGUCGAGAUCACCCUGCAGGGGAAGAGGUCCAGCUGGAAGACGUAGAAUGUCAUCUUACUGCUCUAGUUCUCCAAGCCCCGUAACCGUAAGGGAAAGCGGUCCCGCUGGAAGACGUAGAAGGCCUUUGAAAGGAAGGAGCAGCAGCACCAACAGGGCAACAGGUAGCAGCAACAGCUCACCGCCACUUCGCAAGAGCUAAUAAUUGUUUUCCUGCAAUCUCCAUUAAAAGGAAAAAAAAAAGUUUGAAGUGACCAAAAUGAGACUCAUGUUCUCAUUUACUCUGCUUGGAUCGUACGAAUAAGACUGAUCGGUCUAGUCAAGUGAAUCAGUGAUCUGACAACAACAACCACCACCUUUGUCUUUUGUCUGUUUGCUUGGAGUUAAUGUGGUUCAUGAUCUGAUGGUAACAAGGAAUUGAAAGUGGAGGUGGGAUCAUUAUGCAUUUUAGCAGAAGAUGAGAUUGAAAGCAGUAGUGGGAAUCAUGCAAUCUACACAUUGGUUCUCUUUUUUUUUUUUUUAAAUUUGAACAAAAAUAAAAUAAAAUAAAAAUUGAAGGGACCACACACUGUCCAUAAGCACAACCACACAUGACACCAAGUUUAAAGUCUUUUGCAGAACCUCUUCUCUUGUCUCCUAAUGGGGCAACGAUUAUUAAAAUAAAUAA